This 1288-nucleotide long non-coding RNA is filed under the name Pan troglodytes (chimpanzee). RNAcentral's name for it is "long non-coding RNA NONPTRT004505". Lineage: Eukaryota; Metazoa; Chordata; Mammalia; Primates; Hominidae. The record is from RNAcentral.
UUUUGUCUCUUUCAGGGUAAUAAAGUAUCCCCUAGUCACAUAGGGGAUACUUUUAUAUUGCCAGCAUUGCCUUUCUCAGAUGAUUUAAUCUUAUUGCAGACAAUUGGGCAAAUUAAUAGAGUGAGUUGUACAUAUGUGGGAUGGAUAAUGGGAUAAAAAGUAAAUGUACAGCCUUGGGUACAUGGUGGGAUUAUAAUUAAUUUAAUGUAUUUGGCACCUGAGGGCAGAUUCUACACUGCCCCCUUUGGGAACCAGGAUAAUUAACCAAGAAGUAGUUGAUGUUUUAAAAGCAGCUGAUGGAAGUAGGAGCAGGAUAGCCAGGAUGGACUUUGUUUUAUUCUUCCAAAGGGUAUAACUAAACCCUGAUGAUCAAAAUUUAUGACCAGCAGGCAAAAGAAUAUAAUGCUGAGUAUGGAUGGGGAAAAUACAUUACCCUGACCUGUAUUUCUGGCAUCUUAUCUUCACUCUGGCUUCCUGACUGUUGGAGCUAAUGUAUUUGGCUGUGAGCACAUGAGAUUUUCCUCCUCUCCUACCAGAACCAAGAAACAGUUUGGAAUAUUUGCAUUGCCAAUUCAAACCUGCUGUCAGGAGCCCUGUAUCAAAGUUUCAUCCCUUUUCUUUUUUUUUUUUUUUUCUGGAGGAGGUGGGAUUUGAGGUAAGCAGAGAGAGUUAACAAGUCCAUUUGGAAGCAUACUUUAAUCAUAUCUUCCAAUCUAAAAUAUACCAAUAAUACAAUGUUUCCAAACAAUAAUUAUCAUUCCAUUGAUUUCAUUCCCUAUAUAACUCUCAACUGGUUUUGAAUUUGUGUAAGAGGAGCAAUACUAUAGAUCAACAAUAUAAAGCACACACACACACACACACCCUGAGGUUUGUUUAUCCACUGUCCCUUUAACUCAUUUAAAUACAAAAUCAAUUAAGCAUUAUUUGCACAUUUUUCUGAAUAAUUAAGAAGUGCUUCAGGUUUAUGAUAUUCAAAAUUAACUAUCUUCAUCCCCCCCCCACUCAACUCCCUGUAGAACAAAGAUAUUCAUAUUUCAUUCAUAGUUUCUCCUAUCACAUUAAAUGCUAUCCAGGUCCAUUCAGAAUUUCAAUUUCAAACCUUCAAGUCGUUCUUUGCUUUGUUACCUGCCCUCAAGACCCACCACCCCUGUUAUACAACUAAUCCAUGCUCAGAUUCUGUAAAUUCACUUCAAACUACCAUCAUGUCUGUCUUGAAAAGACUAUAACAAACACCUGUCAAAUCUCUAAUAAUUAUUGUUUUGCUCCAAACAAUCUUACACGCUAGGCU